This 494-nucleotide ribosomal RNA is filed under the name uncultured bacterium. RNAcentral's name for it is "partial 16S ribosomal RNA". It matches the Rfam family "Bacterial small subunit ribosomal RNA", at positions 28 to 507 of the family's 1533-position model. The record is from RNAcentral.
GACGAACGCUGGCGGCGUGCUUAACACAUGCAAGUCGAACGGUGAAGCGCCUUCCUUUUUGGUGGGUGUGGAUGAGUGGCGAACGGGUGAGUAACACGUGAGUAACCUGCCCCCUUCUUCUGGAUAACCGCAUGAAAGUGUGGCUAAUACGGGAUAUUCUGGGUCUGUCGCAUGAUGGGUCUGGGAAAGAUAUUGUUUCGGUGGGGGAUGGGCUCGCGGCCUAUCAGCUUGUUGGUGGGGUGAUGGCCUACCAAGGCGGUGACGGGUAGCCGGCCUGAGAGGGUGGACGGUCACAAUGGGAAUGAGACACGGGCCAGACUCCUACGGGAGGCAGCAGUGGGGAAUAUUGCACAAUGGGCGGAAGGCUGAUGCAGCGACGCCGCGGGAGGGAUGGAGGCCUUCGGGUUGUGAACCUCUUUCGCCAGUGAAGCAGGCCUGCCUCGUUUGUGGGUGGGUUGACGGUAGCUGGAUAAGAAGCGCCGGCUAACUACGUG